GAUCCUGGCUCAGGAUGAACGCUGGCGGCGUGCUUAACACAUUCAAGUCGAACGGAGUCUUUUUGGAAGCUUGCUUCCGGGAAGACUUAGUGGCGGACGGGUGAGUAAUGCAUGAGCAACCUGCCUUCAGGAGGGGGGAUAACAUCGGGAAACCGGUGCUAAUACCGCAUAGAGCAUUUUGCAGGCAUCUGCGAGAUGGGAAAGGAGCAAUCCGCCUGGAGAUGGGCUCAUGU
This 233-nucleotide ribosomal RNA is filed under the name uncultured bacterium. Its description in RNAcentral is "partial 16S ribosomal RNA". It matches the Rfam family "Bacterial small subunit ribosomal RNA", at positions 15 to 236 of the family's 1533-position model. The record is from RNAcentral.